RNAcentral lists this ribosomal RNA (2845 nucleotides) under Candidatus Wolfebacteria bacterium GW2011_GWD2_47_17. RNAcentral's name for it is "bacterial LSU rRNA". It matches the Rfam family "Bacterial large subunit ribosomal RNA". The record is from RNAcentral. Lineage: Bacteria; Candidatus Wolfeibacteriota.
AAUAAGGGCGUAUGGAGGAUGCCUUGACUAAGAAAGGCGAUGAAGGACGCGGCGUAACUGCGAUAAGCUCCGGGGAGGUGUGUAGCAACCUUUGAUCCGAAGAUUUCCGAAUGGGGAAACCCAAUACAGUAGACCUGUAUUACCUGAGCACUAGAUGCCAGGAGCGCACCCGCUGAAGUGAAACAUCUCAGUAAGCGGAGGAGUAGAGAACAAAAGUAAUUCCCCUAGUAGCGGCGAGCGAAACGGGAGGAGCCCAAACCGAUUGAAGGGGAGUAAAAAAUUCAUUGGUUAGCCGAAGUUGCUGGAAAGCAACGCCAUAGCGGGUGAUAGCCUCGUAGGCGAAAACUAAUGAACUCUCUCGUUUCUGCACCUGAGUAUCUCAGUAAAUGAACAAGCUGAGAGAAUCCACCAGAACUAUCUGGUAAGGCUAAAUACUUUCUUAGAUCGAUAGUGAACUAGUACCGCGAGGGAAAGGUGAAAAGCAGGCCGAGAUCUGAAACCAUACGCCUACAAGGACUCGGAGCACGUUUUCGAACGUGUGACGUGGUGCCUAUUGAAGAAUGAGCCAACGAGUUUAGAUAGAUCGUUUGUCUAAGUUUUACGAAACGGAGGCAAAGGGAAACCAAGUCUUAAUAGGGCGCCAAGACGGUUUAUCUAAGACCCGAAGCCAAGCGAGCUUACCCUGGCCAGGUUGAAGUCACUGUAAGAGGUGAUGGAGGACCGAACCGGUUGAUUGUGCAAAAUCUUCGGAUGAGCUGGGGUAAGAAGUGAAAAGCUAAUCGAGCUUGGUAAUAGCUGGUUCUCUCCGAAACAGUUUUUGGACUGGCGGUAGUGAAAAGUAUCAGAGGGGUAGAGCUACUGGAUCGAGUGUAAUGGGGGCAACCUCGGCACUCGAAUCAAACUCCGAAUACUCUGAUUUAGAACGCUACUAGUUAGACUGCGGGGGCUAAGCUCCGUGGUCGAAAGGGAAACAGCCCUGAUCGCCGUCUAAGGUCCCUAAAUCUAUGCUAAGUGUUAAAGGUAGUAAUUCUCCAUUGACAGAUAGGAGGUUGGCUCAGAGGUAGCCAUCCUUUAAAGAGUGUGUAACAACUCACUAUUCGACGGAGAGUUGCGCCGAAAAUAUACCGGGGCUAAGCAUAGUACCGAAGACGCGAAUUCGUCACUUCCUUCGGGAAGUGGGGAGUGGUAGGAGAGCAUUCUGAUUGCGCUGAAGGUUUAUCUGUGAGGAGGACUGGAGCGGUCAGAAGAGAGAAUGUUGGCAUGAGUAACCACAAUGAUGGUGAGAAACCAUCACGCCGUAAAUCUAAGGUUUCCUCCGCAAUGGCAAUCAACGGAGGGUUAGGCGAUCCUAAGUCGAUGGCGAAAGCCGCAGAUGAAGGGUUAGCGGUUAAUAUUCCGCGCCAUCUACAUAAUUCGAUGGAGGGACGGAGAACAUAAGUUUGAGUGCCUUAAUGGUUUGGCAUUUCUUAUUUCAAGUCAGGUAUUCUAGGCAAAUCCGGAAUACUGCUUUAAUGCAACUGGCGGAGAUUGGAUGAAGAUCUUGCUUCGGCUUGGUCAACUCAGAUGAAGAGUCUUCCUAGAAAAGCUUCUAAGAUUAGUUAUGUAGAUAUCGUACCGUAAACCGACACAGGUGGAUGAGGCGAGUAGCCUCAGGCGAACGAGUGAUUUUUCCUUAAGGAACUCGGCAAAAAAGCGGCCGUAAGUUAGCGAUAAGGCCUGCCCACAGCAAUGUGGGCCGCAGCGAAAGUAUCCCUAGCGACUGUUUACUACAAACACAGCUUCCUGCUAACUCGCAAGAGGAUGUAUAGGAGGUGACACCUGACCGAUGCGAGAAGGUUAAUGCUGUCGGUGCAUGCAGCAAUGUAUGUGCUGAGCGGCUGAAGCCCUCGUCAAUGUCAGCGGUAACUAUAACCGUUCUAAGGUAGCGCAAUUCCUUUCCGGGUAAGUUCCGGAGCGCACGAAUGGUGUAACGACUGGGGAACUGUCUCAAGGAAAAGCUCGGUGAAAAUGCGAUUGCCGUGAAGACGCGGUGUACCUCUAACGGGACGAAAAGACCCCAGGAGCUUUACUAUAGCUUGGUAUUGAUGUUAAGGUUUGACUGCGUAGCAUAGUGGGGAGACUUUGAAGCGAUUCUUUCGGGAUUCGUGGAGUCGCCAGUGAAAUACCCAUCUUUCUUUCUUUACCAUCUAACUCCAACGGCAAAAACGUUGGAAGACAGUGCCUGGUGGGUAGUUUUAAUGGGGCGUUAUCCUCCUAAAGAGUAACGGAGGAGUUUAUUAAGGUCAGCUAAGGUCGGAUGGAAAUCGACCGCAUCGUGUAAAGGCAGAAGCUGGCUUGACUGCAAGUCCUACAAGACGCGCAGGUGCGAAAGCAGAACUUAGUGACCCGACGGUUCAUUAUAGAAAGGCCGGAGACAUCGGCUAAAAGCUACCCUGGGGAUAACAGGCUAGUGAGAUCCGAGAGUCCCUAUCGACGAUCUCGCUCGGCACCUCGAUGUCGGCUCGCCCUAGCGCGGGGCUGGAGAAGGUCCCAAGCGUUUGGCUGUUCGCCAAUUAAAAGGGCACGCGAGCUGGGUUUAAACCGUCGUGAGACAGGUUGGUCUCUAUCUGUUAGAGGCGUUGAUGUUUGAAGGAAGCUGCCCCUUGUACGAGAGGAUCGGGGUGGACGAACCACUGGUCUACCGGCUUUGGUACCAACUGAAAUGCCGGGUAGCUAUGUUCGGACGGGAUAACCGCUGAAAGCAUCUAAGCGGGAAGCCUCUCCUAAGAUUAGACAUCGUUUGAGACUCCUGGAAGACUACCAGGUUGAUAGGCUUCAAGUGUAAGCAUGGUAACAUGUGUUUACU